CCCUGGUAAACCCACCUCAGUCGUAGCAAGAAUACACACCUAAGCCACACACUGUAAGCAAAAUUGUAAUUUAGAGAGAGAGGUAGAUUUGUACUGCCACAAUAUUAAGAUAAGAAGAAUUUACAGUGAGUAAAAACUUUCAGUUUUUUCUGACAUAUGGUGGCAGUACAUAUGGGAUAUUGCAAGAUUCCCAAUCGGGUGGGCCUUGUGCCUAAACAGCUUGAAGCACCC
Pelobates cultripes (western spadefoot toad) is the source of this 231-nucleotide non-coding RNA. NCBI's taxonomy places the organism in Eukaryota, Metazoa, Chordata, Amphibia, Anura, Pelobatidae. The record is from the annotation of a GenBank genome assembly.